This 273-nucleotide ribosomal RNA is filed under the name uncultured prokaryote. RNAcentral describes it as "partial 16S ribosomal RNA". It matches the Rfam family "Bacterial small subunit ribosomal RNA", at positions 524 to 796 of the family's 1533-position model. The record is from RNAcentral.
UACGAAGGGGGCUAGCGUUGUUCGGAAUCACUGGGCGUAAAGCGCACGUAGGCGGACUUUCAAGUCAGGGGUGAAAUCCCGGGGCUCAACCUCGGAACUGCCUUUGAUACUGUUGGUCUCGAAUCCGGUAGAGGUGGGUGGAAUUCCUAGUGUAGAGGUGAAAUUCGUAGAUAUUAGGAAGAACACCGGUGGCGAAGGCGGCCCACUGGACCGGUAUUGACGCUGAGGUGCGAAAGCGUGGGGAGCAAACAGGAUUAGAAACCCUCGUAGUCC